This 398-nucleotide ribosomal RNA is filed under the name uncultured bacterium. RNAcentral's name for it is "partial 16S ribosomal RNA". It matches the Rfam family "Bacterial small subunit ribosomal RNA", at positions 360 to 775 of the family's 1533-position model. The record is from RNAcentral.
AAUCUUGCGCAAUGGGCGACAGCCUGACGUAGUCAUGCCGCGUGAAUGAAUAAGGUCUUAGGUUUGUAAAAUUCUUUCACCGGGGACGAUAAUGACGGUACCCGGAGAAGAAGCAACUGCUUACUUCGAGCGAGCAGCCGCGGUAAUACGAAGGUGGCUAGCGUUGCUCGGAAUUACUGGGCGUAAAGGGCGCGUAGGCGGAUCGUUAAGUCAGGGGUGAAAUCCCGGGGCUCAACCUCGGAACUGCCCUUGAUACUGGCGAUCUUGAGUAUGAGAGAGGUAUGUGGAACUCCGAGUGUAGAGGUGAAAUUCGUAGAUAUUCGGAAGAACACCAGUGUCGAAGGCGACAUACUGGCUCAUUACUGACGCUGAGGCGCGAAAGCGUGGGGAGCAAACAG